UCGGAUUGCAGGCUGCAACCCGCCUGUAUGAAGUUGGAAUCGCUAGUAAUCGCGGAUCAGCAUGCCGCGGUGAAUACGUUCCCGGGCCUUGUACACACCGCCCGUCACACCAUGAGAGUCGGGAACACCCGAAGUCCGUAGCCUAACCGCAAGGAGGGCGCGGCCGAAGGUGGGUUCGAUAAUUGGGGUGAAGUCGUAACAAGGUACC
Molecule: ribosomal RNA, 208 nt
Filed under: uncultured bacterium
Lineage: Bacteria
Description: partial 16S ribosomal RNA
Rfam family: Bacterial small subunit ribosomal RNA
Source: RNAcentral